GACGAACGCUGGCGGCGUGCUUAACACAUGCAAGUCGAACGGAAAGGCCCUGCUUUUGUGGGGUGCUCGAGUGGCGAACGGGUGAGUAACACGUGAGUAACCUGCCCUUGACUUUGGGAUAACUUCAGGGAAAUGGGGCUAAUACCGGAUAGGAUCUCCUGCUGCAUGGUGGGGGUUGGAAAGAUUCGGCGGUUGGGGAUGGACUCGCGGCUUAUCAGCUUGUUGGGGGGGUAGUGACGUACCAAGGCUUUGACGGGUAGCCGGCCUGGGAGCGUGACCGGCCACAUUGGGACUGCGGGACGGCCCAGACUCCUACGGUCGGCAGCAGUGGGGAGUAUUGCACAAUGGGGGGACGCCUGAUGCAGCAACGCCGCGAGCGUGAUGACGUCCUUUGGGUUGUAAACCUAUUUCGCCUGUGACGAAGCGUGAGUGACGGUAAUGGGUAAAGAAGCACCGGCUAACUACGUG
Molecule: ribosomal RNA, 468 nt
Filed under: uncultured bacterium
Lineage: Bacteria
Description: partial 16S ribosomal RNA
Rfam family: Bacterial small subunit ribosomal RNA
Source: RNAcentral